CAAUAAGAGAUUAUUAAUAUUCAAAUGAAAGUGAUGAAAGAGAGUAAAUAUUUUAAUGCUCAAUUAUAUUUUAAUGUUAUUUUUUUUUACAUAAGGGUUUAUUUAUGUUUUCAAUUUUGAAGUUCCCUUUCCAAGUCUAGCAACAAAAGUAGUGUCCAACCUUAAAAUGGGCAUGUGUGGUAUUGACGGGAGAUGAUAAGAUGGAAAUCAUAACCAUAACCAUGUUCUCUCUAUGUCUUUCUAUCCUAUUCAAUUAAUUCAUGGGCAUAGAUAUUUUAUUUAGUUUUUAUAUUUAGUUUAUUUAUAGUUUAUUUAGUUUCUAAAAUCCAAUUAGCUAGAUAUUUUAUUUGAUUUUGUUUUUAUAUUUAAGUAGUUGAGUUUUGGAAAGUUUUUAUAUUUUGUUAAUAGAAAUAGAUAUGAGGACUUAGAGGGUUUAUAUUUAGGUAGUGCUUGAGCCAAGGAAAAUGAUAGUCCAUUAUCUUGACCCUAUGCAUCACAAACCAUGUGAGGACUUAAAUGACAUCGUAAACAUGUAAGUUCUUCCUAUUAUUUUUCAUAGUAUUAUUUUUAAAUAAAAAAAUACAUUCACCUCAAACACAUUUUUUUUAUUAUUUAUAUAUAUAUAUUAAAACAUAUAACAUUUACCUAUUUUAAAAAUGUACCCAUUGAACUUAUUUACAUAGGGCUCUUCGAAUAUUUGCAAAGAAAACAUCUAAGAGGGAGCCAUCUUAGCAACUAGUGCAGGUGACAUCCAAAAAAUUUUCUUUACACAUUAGCUUAUGCAUUUGCACCAUUUAUAUAUGUGAGUACUAAUGUUAUUUUAUAAUUGAUCGAUUAGUGUCCAAGAGAAGAAGGAGGGUUCGAAUGUGACUACUUUGUUAUGAGAUUCACUAAAAAGAUAAUUUUUUUAUCCUACAAUUAUUGCUUCAAAGUUUGGUGAUAAAAAAAAACAUAUUCUCAAGUAGAAUUCGAUGAAAUUAGAGGAGAAUGGGCUACUUUUGUGCUACAACUAAUCAUGAAUCAUGUUGAUGCAUCAUGAUCACCAUGCAUGGUAUACACUCUUGGGAGGGUGAAAUGGAGAAUAAAAAAGAAGAAGAAGGCAACAAGAUUUUGGGUUUUUAAAUGCAACUCUUAUGUCAUACGUUAUAGGACAUAAACGUUACUUUAAUUGCAACUGAGAAGUUUAGAUUUUUAGAUGGGACUUUUAUGUCAUUUUAUGGUUAGCCGGUUUUAUGCUUAUGAAAUGGAGGUAUACAUGAAUCUUGGGAUCUUUAACAUUUCUGAAUCAUGUUUUGGUAUGUAUUCACCCUUCUUUUUUAGUUUUAAUGGGUUUGAUAUGUUGGACGUACUAUCCUUUUGUGAACAUUUGAUAUACAAAUAUCAUUAGAUGAUUAAUGUAUUAUGAGUUAUUCCAGAAACAUUACAGAAAAAUGAGUUAAAUAUAAUAUGAUUGUUAUAUUUAUGGACAAAAUAUAAACA
Long non-coding RNA from Vitis vinifera (wine grape), 1479 nucleotides. RefSeq lists it as uncharacterized. The transcript has 3 exons. Lineage: Eukaryota; Viridiplantae; Streptophyta; Magnoliopsida; Vitales; Vitaceae. The record is from RefSeq and is a predicted model, not a curated record.